AACGUAGGGGGCAAGCGUUGCCCAGAUUCACUGGGCGUAAAGCGGGUGUAGGCGGUCCGUUAAGUCGGGUGUGAAAUCUCCGAGCUCAACUCGGAAACUGCACCCGAUACUGGCGGACUUGAGGACGGUAGAGGUCGGUGGAAUAUCAGGUGUACCGGUGAAAUGGACAGAUAUCUGAUAGAACACCAGUGGCGAAGGCGGCCGACUGGGCCGGUCCUGACGCUGAGACCCGAAAGCUAGGGGAGCGAACCGG
Molecule: unclassified non-coding RNA, 253 nt
Filed under: uncultured Actinomycetes bacterium
Lineage: Bacteria; Bacillati; Actinomycetota; Actinomycetes
Description: uncultured actinobacterium contains 16S-23S intergenic spacer region
Rfam family: Bacterial small subunit ribosomal RNA
Source: RNAcentral